AAUGAACGCUGGCGGCGUGCUUAACACAUGCAAGUCGAACGAGAAAGCCCCUUUCGGGGGGUGAGUAGAGUGGCGCACGGGUGAGUAACACGUGGAUAAUCUACCCUUGAGAUUGGGAUAACGUUCCGAAAGGGACGCUAAUACCGGAUGACAUUUUAUUCUCUGCGGGAGAUGAAAUCAAAGAGUGCCUCUGUUUCAUGCACUUGUUUGGGGAUGAGUCUGCGUCCCAUUAGCUAGUUGGUGGGGUAAGAGCCUACCAAGGCGAUGAUGGGUAGCUGGUCUGAGAGGAUGAUCAGCCACACUGGGACUGGAAUACGGCCCAGACUCCUACGGGAGGCAGCAGUGAGGAAUUUUGCGCAAUGGGGGUAACCCUGACGCAGCAACGCCGCGUGAGUGAAGAAGGCCCUUGGGUCGUAAAGCUCUGUCAGUGGGGAAGAAAUUGUAGUUGUCGAAUAGGCGUCUAUAUUGACGGUACCCACAAAGGAAGCACCGGCUAACUCCGUGCCAGCAGCCGCGGUAAUACGGAGGGUGCAAGCGUUAUUCGGAAUUAUUGGGCGUAAAGGGCGCGUAGGCGGUUUGUUAAGUUGUGUGUGAAAUUUUGGGGCUUAACCCCAAAGCUGCAUAUGAUACUGGCAGACUUGAGUAUGGCAGAGGAAAGCGGAAUUCCUGGUGUAGCGGUGAAAUGCGUAGAUAUCAGGAGGAACACCGGUGGCGAAGGCGGCUUUCUGGACCAAUACUGACGCUGAUGUGCGAAGGCGUGGGUAGCAAAC
Molecule: ribosomal RNA, 770 nt
Filed under: uncultured bacterium
Lineage: Bacteria
Description: bacterial SSU rRNA
Rfam family: Bacterial small subunit ribosomal RNA
Source: RNAcentral